CUUACAAGCCGAAAAGCUAAGCAAAUUGUUAGUGCUUAUAGGUAGAAUAAGAUCAUAUUUGUAGACUGGAAGUAGUGGCAAGUUGUUAUUCUUGGAGGUUUGAGAUUUGUUUUUUCACCUCCUCGGGUUCGUUGAUGAGUUAACUUUUUGUUAUAGCAAAUCUUGUCUCUUGGAUUCUACAUUUUUUCUAACCGAGAAUUUUGUUAAGCUUGCUUGUUCAAAGAUAAAGUUCAUGUCUCGUUGAUGUUAUCAAUGUUGAUCCUCUUGAGAAUAAAAUAUGUGAAAAGAUUUGAUUUUUUUCUUUUGGUUCGCG
This 313-nucleotide long non-coding RNA is filed under the name Brassica napus (rape). RNAcentral's name for it is "long non-coding RNA (BNAP_LNC020698)". The record is from RNAcentral. Lineage: Eukaryota; Viridiplantae; Streptophyta; Magnoliopsida; Brassicales; Brassicaceae.